AUAAAGUUUUAUUCUGGUUUUUUAGUUUAAUUUAUAGAAUUUUUUAUAUGCUAAUUUUUACGAACAUAGGGUAUUUUUUAAAUAGAAGUAUUUUUUAUUUAUUUAGUAAUAUUAAAUUGCAAUAUUGAAUAUUAAUUAUUAAUGAUAGUUAGAGUUAGUUACUUAUAUUAGUAUUAACAAAAUUUGUGCCAGCAGUUGCGGUUAUACAAAUGAUACAAUUAAAUUAAAUUAGUUUAUAAUUAGUAUGUUAAUUUAUAACUUAUUAUUAUUUUUAUUAGGUGAAAUUUUUAAUUUUAAUAUACUUUAUUUAUUUUGAAUUUGAGGUUAUGAGAUUUUUUAUAAAGACUAGGAUUAGAUACCCUAUUAUUAAAAAUGUAAAUUUUUAAACUUGAUUAGUAUUAGAUAUGUGCUUGAAAUUUAAAGGAUUUGGCGGUAUUUUAGUCUAUUCAGAGGAACCUGUUCUGUAAUUGAUAGUCCACGAUUAAUUGUACUUAUUUUAAAGGUUUGUAUAUCGUCGUAGUUUGAAUGUUUUAAGAGAAUUUGAAUAUUCAAGAUUUAUAAUUAUAAAUAAAAUCAGAUCAAGGUGCAGCUUAUAAAUAAGAAGAAAUGGGUUACAAUAAAAAUAUUUAAAUGGUUAAAUUAAUUAAAUUUAUUUUAUAAAGUGGAUUUGACGGUAAUAUAAUUUAUAUAAGUUAUAUGAUUUUAGCUCUAAAAUAUGUACAUAUCGCCCGUCACUCCUGUUAUAAAAUAGGAUAAGUCGUAACAAAGUAGGCGUACCGGAAGGUGUGCCUAGAUAGUC
Molecule: non-coding RNA, 799 nt
Filed under: Serica brunnea
Lineage: Eukaryota; Metazoa; Arthropoda; Insecta; Coleoptera; Scarabaeidae
Source: RNAcentral